This 475-nucleotide ribosomal RNA is filed under the name Hepatozoon sp. RNAcentral describes it as "SSU rRNA". It matches the Rfam family "Eukaryotic small subunit ribosomal RNA", at positions 454 to 935 of the family's 1831-position model. The record is from RNAcentral. Lineage: Eukaryota; Apicomplexa; Hepatozoidae.
UGACACAGGGAGGUAGUGACAAGAAAUAACAAUACAAGGCAGUUAAAAUGCUUUGUAAUUGGAAUGAUAGAAAUUUAAAMACUUUUUAAAGUAUCAAUUGGAGGGCAAGUCUGGUGCCAGCAGCCGCGGUAAUUCCAGCUCCAAUAGCGUAUAUUAAAAUUGUUGCAGUUAAAAAGCUCGUAGUUGAAUUUCUGCUAAAAAUAACCGGUCUGCUUUUAAUAAAGGUGGUAUCUUGGUGUGUUUUUAGCAAUAAUGUCCUUUGAAAUGUUUUUUACUUCAUUGUAAUAAAUUAUWUUYAGGAUUUUUACUUUGAGAAAAUUAGAGUGUUUCUAGCAGGCUAAYGCUUUGAAUACUGCAGCAUGGAAUAAUAAAAUAGGAUUUUGGUUCUACAUUAUUGGUUUUAAGAGCUAAAUUAAUGAUUGAUAGGGACAGUUGGGGGCAUUUGUAUUUAACUGUCAGAGGUGAAAUUCUUAGA